This 398-nucleotide ribosomal RNA is filed under the name Ventricleftida sp. RNAcentral's name for it is "partial small subunit ribosomal RNA". It matches the Rfam family "Eukaryotic small subunit ribosomal RNA", at positions 582 to 975 of the family's 1831-position model. The record is from RNAcentral. Lineage: Eukaryota; Cercozoa; Thecofilosea; Ventricleftida.
AUUCCAGCUCCAAUAGCGUAUAUUAAAGUUGUUGUGGUUAAAAAGCUCGUAGUUGGAUUUCUGGUUCGCUGCGCCUGGCCCGCCUGCGUUAGCAGUGUGAGUGCCGGUUGCGCGGUAGCCAUCCUUCUGGAGAGCGGGCCUGCCCUCCAUUGGGUGGGGUCCGCGACCCAGAUCCUUUACUUUGAAAAAAUUAGAGUGUUUAAAGCAGGCAGUUGCUCUGAAUACAUUAGCAUGGAAUAAUGAUAUAGGACUUUGGUUCUAUUUUGUUGGUUUCUAGGACUGAAGUAAUGAUUGAUAGGGAUAGUUGGGGGUGCUAGUAUUGAGCGGCCAGAGGUGAAAUUCUUGGAUUCGCUCAAGACUAACUUAUGCGAAAGCAUUCACCAAGGAUGUCUUCAUUA